RNAcentral lists this transfer RNA (77 nucleotides) under Patescibacteria group bacterium. RNAcentral's name for it is "tRNA-Ala". It matches the Rfam family "tRNA". From Rfam's summary of the family: Transfer RNA (tRNA) molecules are approximately 80 nucleotides in length. Their secondary structure includes four short double-helical elements and three loops (D, anti-codon, and T loops). Further hydrogen bonds mediate the characteristic L-shaped molecular structure. tRNAs have two regions of fundamental functional importance: the anti-codon, which is responsible for specific mRNA codon recognition, and the 3' end, to which the tRNAs corresponding amino acid is attached (by aminoacyl-tRNA synthetases). tRNAs cope with the degeneracy of the genetic code in two manners: having more than one tRNA (with a specific anti-codon) for a particular amino acid; and 'wobble' base-pairing, i.e. permitting non-standard base-pairing at the 3rd anti-codon position. The record is from RNAcentral.
GGGCUGUUAGCUCAGUUGGCUAGAGCGCCUGCUUUGCAUGCAGGAGGUCGCAGGUUCGAUUCCUGUACAGUCCACCA